This is a long non-coding RNA of Poecilia latipinna (sailfin molly), 1416 nucleotides long. RefSeq lists it as uncharacterized. The record is from RefSeq and is a predicted model, not a curated record. The transcript has 4 exons. NCBI's taxonomy places the organism in Eukaryota, Metazoa, Chordata, Actinopteri, Cyprinodontiformes, Poeciliidae.
GUAAUUGUUUUCACACAUAGCUACCUCCAAAAGUAUCUUUAUCAAAGAUAUUAUAGAAACCCUAACUCCCCCUCAAAACAUUUAGAAAGUCAAAAUCUAAAUCAGUAAGUCUGACCUCAAAGAAAUUGAAUCAAUAUAACACAAUCACUGUAAUCAUCAAUUUUAGCCAUUUUUGCCAUCUUGUAUUAAAUUAAAACCCCUUGCAUGCUAAAUUGUGGUAUUAAAAAAAGUUAAAUCCGUAGAAAUCACAUAACAGCUCCUACCAAUUACCCCCAUAGUCAGGAGCAUUUAAUUCUCUAAAUUGGAAAUGACAUCCUUCACUGGAGGAGCUCUGAUUUUGUUCUCCAUGUCCGCAUACCACUGGGUAAAUCCCCCUGUCCAAGUUCUGCUGGUUAAAAUGUAAAGGCAUACUUUCACGGACAUAUCAUACAAACAUCUAAUCACAAUCAAGCCAAUAGCAUUAGGCAGGAUAACAUCCGGCGCAUUCAUGUGGAUCAGCCCGGGAACAAACAUGGGAGUAACCCAGCCGAAGCACAUCAGCAAUUCUGCAGGUUUGACUUUGGUUCACGACAAACACCAGGAGUGCAGUUUUGUUAUGGAGAACAUGCCAAGACAAGGGAACAAGCUGCUGUGAGAGAUGAGGGUCUGCGCUACUGGAGCUGAGCAGCAUAACAAGGGUGUGGUGGCUCGGAGAAAGAAAUUUCCUCGGGACAGAACUAAUGUUUUAUCACUUACAACAGACGAACAGGACAGACUUUGACCCCAUAGCCAAAUAAGAAAGAAAGUCGACCAUUUUGAAGGUAGUUUCGAUUAUUCUGCUCUCCAGGAAUUAUGUCAAUUAUUAUAGGGAAAACGCAUAGUUCCCAGUCUCUGUCGACUUGUCAAGCAGGUUUUCAAUAAGAAACCGAAAAUAAAGUUCUGUGUAUUUUUCCCCCCACCAAGGAGUACAAGAGGGUCCAUUUUUGUCCACAGCGGAACUCCCUCCAGUUAAUUAAAGUACGCAAUGAGAGCAACAGGAAACCACGCAACAGGGAUUUGAGCUUUUUAACAUGCCAUUCUCCCAGUGAGGUCGUAAGUUCAGUCCCCCUCUCAGUACACUGCGGCACACUGUUGUAAUACAGCAACAUUGGCUUCAGGCAAUGUUCUGAGAAGUAGCUUUGAUAAUGAGCUCAGCACAGAUGUGCAGUUCCACCAGGUGUUUGAAAAUUGCUACUGGCUCAACUGAAGGCUGAGUGGGAGAUACCUGGGAAAGGGGUUCUCUGUAAUCUGGAAACUCGGACGUUCAAAAGUUGCAACACCAAGGAGGAGCUUCUGCAAGGAUUAUGGUUUGAAGGCAUUAAAGAAAAUCACUUACUAUUUGCUGGGACUUCCAUCGCGCUUCUUUUUUUCUACACAGCCGAAUCAUGAUAGCUUCGU